This 157-nucleotide ribosomal RNA is filed under the name Aspergillus funiculosus. RNAcentral's name for it is "5.8S ribosomal RNA". It matches the Rfam family "5.8S ribosomal RNA". Rfam says of the family: 5.8S ribosomal RNA (5.8S rRNA) is a component of the large subunit of the eukaryotic ribosome. It is transcribed by RNA polymerase I as part of the 45S precursor that also contains 18S and 28S rRNA. The record is from RNAcentral. Lineage: Eukaryota; Fungi; Ascomycota; Eurotiomycetes; Eurotiales; Aspergillaceae.
AAACUUUCAACAAUGGAUCUCUUGGUUCCGGCAUCGAUGAAGAACGCAGCGAACUGCGAUAAGUAAUGUGAAUUGCAGAAUUUAGUGAAUCAUCGAGUCUUUGAACGCACAUUGCGCCCCCUGGUAUUCCGGGGGGCAUGCCUGUCCGAGCGUCAUU